GUAGGAUAGAGGCCUACCAUGGUGGUAACGGGUAACGGGGAAUUAGGGUUCGAUUCCGGAGAGGGAGCCUGAGAAACGGCUACCACAUCCAAGGAAGGCAGCAGGCGCGCAAAUUACCCAAUCCCGACACGGGGAGGUAGUGACAAUAAAUAACAACACAGGGCUCUUUUGGGUCUUGUUAUUGGAAUGAGUACGAUUUAAAUCUCCUAACGAGGAACAAUUGGAGGGCAAGUCUGGUGCCAGCAGCCGCGGUAAUUCCAGCUCCAAUAGCGUAUAUUAAAGUUGUUGCAGUUAAAAAGCUCGUAGUUGAAUUUCAGGCCUGGCUGGACGGUCCGCCCUUCGGGUGAGUACUGUCUGUGGUCGGGUCCUACCUUCUGGCGAAGCGUCAUGGCCUUAACCGGCCGUGGCGGGGAACCAGGACUUUUACUGUGAAAAAAUUAGAGUGUUCAAAGCAGGCAAUCGCUUGGAUACAUUGGCAUGGAUUAAUGGAAUAGGACAAUGGUUCUAUUUGUUGGUUUCUAGGACCGUUGUAAUGAUUAAUAGGGAUAGUUGGGGGCAUUAGUAUUCAAUUGUCAGAGGUGAAAUUCUUGGAUUUAUUGAAGACUAACUACUGCGAAAGCAUUUGCCAAGGAUGUUUUCAUUAAUCAAGAACGAAAGUUAGGGGAUCGAAGACGAUCAGAUACCGUCGUAGUCUUAACCAUAAACUAUGCCGACCAGGAAUCGGGCGAUGUUGAAAAAAUGACGCGCUCGGCACCUCAUGGGAAACCAAAGUGUUUGGGUUC
Molecule: ribosomal RNA, 782 nt
Filed under: uncultured Paraglomus
Lineage: Eukaryota; Fungi; Glomeromycota; Glomeromycetes; Paraglomerales; Paraglomeraceae
Description: SSU rRNA
Rfam family: Eukaryotic small subunit ribosomal RNA
Source: RNAcentral